RNAcentral lists this unclassified non-coding RNA (201 nucleotides) under Hevea brasiliensis (rubber tree). Lineage: Eukaryota; Viridiplantae; Streptophyta; Magnoliopsida; Malpighiales; Euphorbiaceae. The record is from RNAcentral.
GGAGUAUUGAAGGAGGGGUCAGCGACGGUGAGUUUAGCUGAUAAUUGUCUGAUGCGGUGCCCGGCUGUAUACUUCUUCUGUCAGGGCGGCGAGCAGAAGCCGCAGGCGACGUGCCGGUGGUUUAAUCCGGUGAUCCCGUAAUGGUAUUUUGGUUGUGUAGUUUGCAUGUGAAAUCUUGUUGUCGGAUAUUGUAUCUGUUUU